RNAcentral lists this long non-coding RNA (267 nucleotides) under Salvia miltiorrhiza (redroot sage). Its description in RNAcentral is "long non-coding RNA (SMIL_LNC014288)". The record is from RNAcentral. Lineage: Eukaryota; Viridiplantae; Streptophyta; Magnoliopsida; Lamiales; Lamiaceae.
AAAAUGUAGUGGAGAAGUUGGUGGAGUGGAAGAGUAGGUGUAGUGGUGGGGAAGCAAAUGGUGGUAAAUUCAACCUUGUAAAAUACUAUACAAUUUUCCCCAAGCUGGGAAGUAGACUGUAUUCGUGAACUGUAAUAAAAUACUGGCUUCUAUUCUCUAUCAUCCGUUAUUGUAUCUGUUUGAUAUCUUUUUCCUUGCCUGCUAACUUGAUAAACUAUAAUAUAACUUAAAUUAAAUCCGUAGAUUUAAUCUGCUUUGCUGUCGGAA